RNAcentral lists this ribosomal RNA (434 nucleotides) under uncultured Lachnospiraceae bacterium. RNAcentral describes it as "partial 16S ribosomal RNA". It matches the Rfam family "Bacterial small subunit ribosomal RNA", at positions 341 to 792 of the family's 1533-position model. The record is from RNAcentral. Lineage: Bacteria; Bacillati; Bacillota; Clostridia; Lachnospirales; Lachnospiraceae.
ACGGGAGGCAGCAGUGGGGAAUAUUGCACAAUGGGCGAAAGCCUGAUGCAGCGACGCCGCGUGAACGAUGAAGUAUUUCGGUAUGUAAAGUUCUAUCAGCAGGGAAGAUAAUGACGGUACCUGACUAAGAAGCACCGGCUAAAUACGUGCCAGCAGCCGCGGUAAUACGUAUGGUGCAAGCGUUAUCCGGAUUUACUGGGUGUAAAGGGAGCGUAGGCGGCUUUGCAAGUCUGAUGUGAAAGCCCGGGGCUCAACUCCGGUAUUGCAUUGGAAACUGUAGAGCUAGAGUGUCGGAGGGGUAAGUGGAAUUCCUAGUGUAGCGGUGAAAUGUGUAGAUAUUAGGAGGAACACCAGUGGCGAAGGCGGCUUACUGGACGAUUACUGACGCUGAGGCUCGAAAGCGUGGGGAGCAAACAGGAUUAGAUACCCUGGUA